AAUUCCACUUGACUUACUUUUAAUUUUUAUUAAAAAUGCAAGAAAUCCAGAACAAUUUACAACUAUACAAUGUUUGAAACAGCUUUCCUAUUCCUAUUUAAAGCUUUAUUUUUUAAAUGUCUAUAUGACAUGUGCUUACACGGGCUUGAGACUAUCAAACCUGACCACCCAGUGACGUUAGCAGUUUUAUUGCACAAUGAUCCACAUAACACUGCAUAUUUGUUUAGUUCAGCCUAUAUCAUAAAGUGCUAGUCAUUGGUGGGAAAGUAACAAAGCCUACGAAACAAUGCAAUUCUCCAUGAUAUUUUCUAUUUGGGUUGUGAGGGGUAGCUAAUUUAGUGCUAUCAGCCUGAAUAACAGAUUUCCAUUUAAAAAUAUAUAGUUUAAAAAAAGGCCUAAGGUCUAUGAAUAUGUCACAAGCAUUCCAAAAUUAUUAGUGCUAAUGCAUAACAGUCUAGUUUCUAACAUUUUAACUUCAAAAAAACAACCAGUUUAAAUAAAACAACCUAAGAAAAAGAUGUUUCAAAAAUGAACAUAAAAUUUAGAUAAAGUCAUUCUUCAAAUGAACUUUUAAAAGGAUACAGUCAUUAUGAUUUUGGUUAUUACUCCUAAACAAUUAAAUUUGUAUUUUUACUUGUUUAUUAUUACCAAUGCUCAUUACCAAAGAAUGAGCCACAGAAAAAUGCAUACAACUGACCAGUUAGUUAUUCCACAUAUUAUGUUUAAUGACACUAAAAAUAGAUCAUUAACUCUUUAAAAAUGUAAACAUAAACCAGGACAAUCUGAUAUGUCAUAUUUGUGCCAAAAAAAUGAAAACCACAAGACACAGUAAGAGGGGAUAAAAAAACAAAAGACCAAUAUCAAUAUAUCUUCACCAAUAUUUAUGAAAAAUAAUUACUCAACAUAGGUGCAAAUAUUUCCAUAAAACAUGUUUUAUGAAUGACAAGUUUUCCCAGACACGUUUUAUCUGGGGGGAAAAAUGAUUAAAAUGAAGAGCUACAUGUGUUAACCACUAACUUUGUGUUUCCUGCAAGAAACUAUGUUUACUACACAUGCACAUAUGGGCGUUACAGCUAAGAAAACACGUUUAUAUGUCCUUAAGAAUAGUUUAUGAUCUUUAAAAAAAAACAGUAUUCAUUUUCCAGGCAAAUAUACUGUUAAUAUUCUUUACACAUCUCAAAAUACAUAAUUUUCCAUUUAAAUAUAUUACCAUUUCUAUGGCCUUUCCCCCAUCUUUCUUUUAAAAACAAAUGCAAGACACAAUGUUUAGUACUAACUUCUAUCCAUUAGGCAUUUUAAAAAAAAUCUUCUCUUAGGACACAAACAUGAUAUAAAAUUGAAAAACCAAACACAAAACAACGUAAUAAAUACAUUUGUAUGCUUUCCCCCCAAAAGGAAUGUAAGUAUCAGCAACACCAGCUAACAUAAAUAAACUUCAUGUUCAUAAAAAAA
Long non-coding RNA from Myotis brandtii (Brandt's bat), 1452 nucleotides. RefSeq lists it as uncharacterized. Lineage: Eukaryota; Metazoa; Chordata; Mammalia; Chiroptera; Vespertilionidae. The record is from RefSeq and is a predicted model, not a curated record. The transcript is spliced from 2 exons.